AUUUAUAUAGUUUAAUUAAAACCUUACAUUUUCACUGUAAAAAUAAAGCAAUUUCUUUUAUAAAUU
Molecule: transfer RNA, 66 nt
Filed under: Tipula flavolineata
Lineage: Eukaryota; Metazoa; Arthropoda; Insecta; Diptera; Tipulidae
Description: tRNA-Glu
Source: RNAcentral